Molecule: ribosomal RNA, 251 nt
Filed under: uncultured bacterium
Lineage: Bacteria
Description: partial 16S ribosomal RNA
Rfam family: Bacterial small subunit ribosomal RNA
Source: RNAcentral
UACGAAGGGGGCUAGCGUUGCUCGGAAUUACUGGGCGUAAAGCGCACGUAGGCGGCUUCUUAAGUCGGUGGUGAAAUCCUGGAGCUCAACUCCAGAACUGCCUCGAUACUGGGAGCUCGAGUCCGGGAGAGGUGAGUGGAACUGCGAGUGUAGAGGUGAAAUUCGUAGAUAUUCGCAAGAACACCAGUGGCGAAGGCGGCUCACUGGCCCGGUACUGACGCUGAGGUGCGAAAGCGUGGGGAGCAACAGGG